Molecule: long non-coding RNA, 1228 nt
Organism: Gambusia affinis (western mosquitofish)
Lineage: Eukaryota; Metazoa; Chordata; Actinopteri; Cyprinodontiformes; Poeciliidae
Exons: 4
Source: RefSeq, a predicted model, not a curated record
CUAACAGUACUUGAAUGCAUCACAUCUUUGUCACAGCCUGGCAAAGCCAGGCGGGAAAUCUUUAGGCCAGUCCAAUGGAACAUAUUCACCCCCGCUUCCUUUUCCCUCUUUUUCACAAGAGGAGUAGGCAGCCUUCGGUUGAAUCACAAUGCUCUCUUUCAGAGAAAGUGACUUGUAGGAAUUUGUAGAGAAAACAUUAAAAAAGCGAUUGAGGACAACGGCAAAAUCUCGUUGAAUGAUGACCCCUGCUGGAAGACUGAAAACUAUUGGUACCACCAAAAAGCCCCCAUUAACCAUGGAGAGUGACUGUGCAAGCAGGAAUCAGCUCUCUGCCUCUCAAGAGCUGUGUCACACAUUGCACUUUAAUAAAAAGUCUGUCUGUUUCCAAGCAGUCACCCCGCCCCAUGAGGGAAGUGUGAAAAGCACAAUCAAAGCGACGGCGUGGCAUCUGCGGGGGGAAAACAGGCCUAAUUGAUUUCCUUUGUGUCCACGUCCUUCCCGUGGGAGAGGAGGAAGGUGAGGAAACGACACGCACAGAAAGAGAGAGAGCCGGGGAGACGGGACUUUCUGAAGACGUGCUGCAGUACAUAGAGCCAAACUCUCAGAUGCACCAGGGAAGACACCUGCAGAGCACAGCUCCAAGCAGAGCUCUGCAUCAGUGCUCCUGACUGCAGAACAUCUGGCAGAGGAGCAGUGGAUUCAAAUCGAACAUCUGCACGGCAGCAUGCAGCCAAGAAAGCAGUUCUAAUGAAAGCAGGAACGGCUCCCUAACACACCACUACAGCUAUACUAUUCAUUUGUCCUUUAAUUGGGACCAUAUUUACGGAUUGGCAGUUAGCUGUAAACAGCUAAGGUAUAAGAUGUCUCAAUGCUACACAGAACGAGGGAGGGUUCUCCAAAGGUGGAGCUUUUUGUUGGCGUACAAUGAGGGUAAGCCAACAAAAACUUCACAUUAGACCAAAGUGGGAGAUAAUGAGAAAAUAUAAAAGAAAGAAAUAAAAAAGACACAAACAGGAAGACAUAAAUGAAGAGCCAAUCAAAGCUAAAAGUAAAUGUUAAAAAAUGUGUAGCCACCAGAGGGGAUGUUGAUUUGAGAUUUAGGAAGAGGAAAAUGAUGAAGGGGAGAAGAAGACAUCAAAUUUCUGAAGGUUUGAGAUCUCAUGUUAAACCUAAAAGGAGGAAUAGAUAUUAUGAAAUCAGUUAAAAUAGCAUAUAAGUAGGCAAAUAA